UAGCUCAGUCGGUUGGAGCGUGGUGCUGAUAACACCAAGGUGGCGGGUUCAAUCCCCAU
RNAcentral lists this transfer RNA (59 nucleotides) under Apaloderma vittatum (bar-tailed trogon). It matches the Rfam family "tRNA", at positions 8 to 63 of the family's 71-position model. Rfam says of the family: Transfer RNA (tRNA) molecules are approximately 80 nucleotides in length. Their secondary structure includes four short double-helical elements and three loops (D, anti-codon, and T loops). The record is from Rfam by way of RNAcentral. Lineage: Eukaryota; Metazoa; Chordata; Aves; Trogoniformes; Trogonidae.